UCCUAUCGUAGGGGAGGCAGCAGUAAGGAAUAUUGGUCAAUGGGCGGAAGCCUGAACCAGCCAUGCCGCGUGCAGGAUGACUGCCCUAUGGGUUGUAAACUGCUUUUGUCCAGGAAUAAACCUAGAUACGUGUAUCUAGUGAAAUUC
Molecule: ribosomal RNA, 147 nt
Filed under: Sphingobacterium multivorum
Lineage: Bacteria; Pseudomonadati; Bacteroidota; Sphingobacteriia; Sphingobacteriales; Sphingobacteriaceae
Description: partial 16S ribosomal RNA
Rfam family: Bacterial small subunit ribosomal RNA
Source: RNAcentral